RNAcentral lists this ribosomal RNA (253 nucleotides) under uncultured bacterium. RNAcentral's name for it is "partial 16S ribosomal RNA". It matches the Rfam family "Bacterial small subunit ribosomal RNA", at positions 524 to 776 of the family's 1533-position model. The record is from RNAcentral.
UACGGAGGGGGCUAGCGUUGUUCGGAAUUACUGGGCGUAAAGCGAGUGUAGGCGGUUUGGUAAGUCGGAUGUGAAAGCCCCGGGCUCAACCCGGGAAGUGCACUCGAUACUGCCAAGCUAGAGUAUCGGAGAGGUUGGUGGAAUUCUCGGUGUAGAGGUGAAAUUCGUAGAUAUCGAGAGGAACACCGGUGGCGAAGGCGGCCAACUGGACGAAUACUGACGCUGAGACUCGAAAGCGUGGGGAGCAAACAGG